RNAcentral lists this ribosomal RNA (467 nucleotides) under uncultured bacterium. RNAcentral's name for it is "partial 16S ribosomal RNA". It matches the Rfam family "Bacterial small subunit ribosomal RNA", at positions 28 to 507 of the family's 1533-position model. The record is from RNAcentral.
GACGAACGCUGGCGGUGUGCUUAACACAUGCAAGUCGAACGGAAAGGCCCUGCUUUUGUGGGGUGCUCGAGUGGCGAACGGGUGAGUAACACGUGAGUAACCUGCCCUUGACUUUGGGAUAACUUCAGGAAACUGGGGCUAAUACCGGAUAGGAGCUCCUGCUGCAUGGUGGGGGUUGGAAAGUUUCGGCGGUUGGGGAUGGACUCGCGGCUUAUCAGCUUGUUGGUGGGUAGUGGCUUACCAAGGCUUUGACGGGUAGCCGGCCUGAGAGGGUGACCGGCCACAUUGGGACUGAGAUACGGCCCAGACUCCUACGGGAGGCAGCAGUGGGGAAUAUUGCACAAUGGGCGGAAGCCUGAUGCAGCAACGCCGCGUGCGGGAUGACGGCCUUCGGGUUGUAAACCGCUUUCGCCUGUGACGAAGCGUGAGUGACGGUAAUGGGUAAAGAAGCACCGGCUAACUACGUG